GAACACCGGGGGUCCCAUGGGGGGCGCGCGCGACUACAAGGCGACCCUCCCUGCCCCCGGCCACCGAUGGAACGGCCCGCUCCGCCGCCGUCACGUGGACUCCUCCUCCGUGACGUCGGCGUCUUCGCUGUAGCAAAGCUCGGCCUCUGGAAUUCUGAGAACUAAUUUGCUAUUCGGUGACAUAAGAGGGGGAGUGCGCUUCGCUUUCCCGGGGUCUGGGGCUAAUUCUUCCUCUCCUACCCAUAAACUCGGCUCCUCGAGCUAAAUACACAAAAGGGAGCCAGAGAUUUGAGCUGUUAGAACCAGUAUGUUAGAGGCAGGUUUAGAGAGGCGAGUGAGGGAGAAAACAAUAAAUACCACAGCUCUUUCCAGCUAGAAUAUUAGGCACCACGAGAAAAAUAUUUGCCAAGCAGUUUUCGAAUUCUCCACACCACACUCCUGAGGAUUCCCUAGAGAACCAUGCAGUUCCCUGCACUCUGCACCCGAGCCUCUAUGCCUUGAUCUCUUCUGUCUUGAAGUAGAGCAAAUACAGAGCCAUCCCCAGGACAUUAUAGUAAAUAAAAGAGGAUCUCCAUAAGGAUUAAAGAAAAUGUCAGCAUAGAUGUUGAGGGGAGAGAGACAACCCACCAUCUUCAAGAGGCAAUGAUCAAGCAAGUAAAACAGUUGAGUGUGACAUUUGUUACGUAUUAAGUAAAAAAAGAAUAACUACUCAAAAACCCAUCUCAUGAAGCUACAGAGAUGGCAAAGGAUAAGUGCCUGAUGCUUGAGUACGGAGACUUGAGUUCGGACACUCAGCAGCCAUGUGAAAGCCAUGGCAAGGUGGUGAAUCUGUAACCUAGUGUACGCCUGGGGACACAGAAGGAAGGCAGGAAGAGUCAGACCCAUCCUCAGUCUGGCCAAUUGCUGAGCAUUGGGUUCCAUGAGAGAUCCUGUUUCCAUACUCAUGUGCAUGCAAUGCACACUCCCGUACAGAGGCACACAUACCUCCCCCAAUAUACUCACACACACACACACACACACACACACACACACACACACACACACACACAGAGAGAGAGAGAGAACACAGUUUUUAAAAGCCCAUCUUAGAGGCCAGAGAGAUGGCUCUCUUGGUGACACAAACACCAAGACCGGAAACAGAGACUCAGCACCCAUAUAAAAGCCAGACCCUGUGGCGUACAUCUGGCUCAUGGGUGAAGACAGGUAGACCCCGGAGAUCAAUGGUCAACAAGCCUAGAUGAAUUGAUGAACUUUGGGUUCAGUGAGAGACACUGCCCCAAAAGAUAUGGAAGAGAGACCAGUUAAGGAAGAUCAAGGCAGAUACUCAAUGAUCAAUCUCUAGUUUCUACCUGCAUGCAUAUAUGUAUUCACACACAGCCGUCUGCACGUGUACAUAUACAGCCUGAACAUAUAUACCACACUCACACAACAUAAAACUAAAUGAAUAAAGAUUUUAAAAGCCUUCCUUCUUUUCUUCUCUUCCUUGGCCACCUCCCCUCUAGUCCUUCCUCUUAAAGGUUGGCUCCAAACUCACCACAUAGCCUAGAUUGGCCUUGAAGAUCUAACCUUCCCUACCUCUCAAGUUCUGAGAUUAAAGGUGUGUGUUACCAUGUCAGGCUCAUCCCAUGCUUUGUAUAGUCUCCAGUAAGUACUUAAAUGGAACAGAAAUCAGGGUAUUCCACACAAAUGGAUGGGCCACACACCUCCAAAGGGAAGGUGGCAGGCAUGAGAAUAUCUACAAUUUAAAGCCAAAUGAUCAAUAGACCAUUUAUUUUUAGAUUCCUAGAAGCGAAGAGGCAAGAAUAUUGUUGUAUAUGGUCUAAAUGCUGAAAAUGGGUGAAUCACCACAAAAAUUAGGAUCCUAGACAAUGUCAACAUUGGGCAAGUACAGUCUCCCACUCUGGUUCAAUAUUCCCCCACCCAAUCAUCCCAUUCCCCCAAAUCUUUCACCCAACCAUACUUGUAGGUCUUCCCAUCCCUAUAUCUAGGCAGAUCAAAGCAGAGGAACCUCUGUACCAAGGUAUGAUGACCUCCUCACUGGAAACUGGGAGACUGGGAUGGUCCAAGGAGAGAGUACUGUAUUGUAAGACUUGAGGAGGUCAGAACAGAAAGAGUUUGACCACCCACUUGGCAGUACUUUCUCAGAAAUGGUCCACAGGAAUAUAUGUUAAGUAAACUUUAAUAUGAAAUUAUAAAGAGAAGGCUCAAUUGGCCAGGCCAAAUGUGGGAGGGAGCAUGUUCAGGCCAAGGAAACAGGAGUGAAACAUUACACAGAGUAAAUUCAUGUUUUGUUCUAAUGGCUGAAAUGGGCUGAUAUGGGAGAAGAUCAGGAUGUAGAUGGCUCUUCACAGGCCACAGUUAAGACUUUAUAGGUUAUUCCAGAUGUUCAACAUAUCAUGGAAGGUUGUUAGCAAGAUGGUAGACAGAUCUGACUUUUGUCUUAAGACAAAAUUUGUACACUAUUUCUGUGAUAAAGCACCGUGACCCAAAGCAACUUGGGAAGGAAAGGUUUUAUAUAUUUUGGCUUAAAGCUUACAUUAUCAGAGGAAGACAAGACAGGAACCUGGAGGCAGGAACUAAAUAAAGCAGAGGCCACGCGGGAGUGCUACUUAUUGGCCUGCUCCUCACAUCUUUCUCAGCCUAGUUUCUUAUACAACUCAGGACAACCCACUCAAAAGUGGGACUACCCACAGUGUGUUGAGUCCUCACACAGCAUUCAUUAAUGAAGAAAAUCGCCCACAUGCUUGCCUAUAGGCCUAUCUUAUACUUGCCCCCUUCCUCGGUUGAUAUUCAUUUUCUUGAAUGAUCCUAGCUUGUGACAAGUAGACAAGCAAACCAAACUCACCAGCACGUAAUUCUACCUGUUUAGGGGAAGAAAGAGACCAGAAGGGAAUCUUCUAAAAAGUCUAUUAUAGAAUCCCUGGUAUGAAAGGUAUUAACAUAGACUAAGGAGUUAGCCUUGUAGAUAGUGAGGCAUAAAAAGACUUGAGACGCACUGCCAAGGGAGAAUCGACAAGACUUAACAACAGAUCUGACUACACUGUGGAGAGUGGAAGGGCAGUAGAGCUGGCAAUAAUAAAUUUCAUUUUCCUUUAAACUAGGUAGCUCAAGGACUAACAGGGUAAAGAAAUAUGUGGGUGUGGGUGGGAAUUGUUCAGAACUCAGUUUUGAACAUUAUAUACUUAAGAUGUCCCUGAGGUAGAAGUUUUAAGACAGGCAAUUGAAUACUCAAGACCUGAACUUAAAAAAAAAAAAAGAUACCAGUUUGGAGAUACAAAUUUGGAAUUCAUUAAUUUUUGAUAGUAGGGGAAAGAAUUUAUUUUUGUAGCAGACCACUUUAAAACCAAAACAAUAACAACAAAAGAACCAAGCCAAAAGUGGUGGCUCACUCCUGGGUACCAGCCCCCAGAUGGCUGGGGAAAAGACGUCAUGAGGUUAAUGCUACCAUAGAUUACAGCGAGUUCUCGGGCAAUCUGAGCUACAGUGUGAGUCCCAGCUUUACUGGAACAGCACCCACUGCCCCCAAACAGUAAGGUGAAACAGUCCUUAGAAAUACUUCAGACAAACUUCUCAAUUACAGAGAAAUCAGCUGAAACAAAUGAACUCCCUGGCAAAAAUGGGUUGGUGAGAACAGCUAGCACCAUUGGCCUAAGGAGAACGUUCUUCAUCUCAUAAUGUACUCUCAAGGUUUGACAUUCAAGAGACUGAAGCUGACAAACCCUCUGAUUGAACUGUGUAGAUGUAUGUGGUUCAUGGCCACCACCUUUUCUUCAUUUUAUAAUCACAUCCACUAUGUGCGAACCGCCACACACUCUCAGAACUGACUUCUCCACUUCAUUUAAAGUCAAGAAGGAGUUGUCUUCUUGAUUCCUUCUUUAUCAGAACAUUAGGUAUGGUCAUUUGGGAUGGAAAUAACUGGACAGUUUGCUAGCCUACUACAGUGGUUCUCAACUUGUGGGCCGUGACCUUUUUGGGGGUCAAAUGAACCUUUCACAGAGGUCACCUAUCAGAUAGGUGGAACUAUAUUAAAGGGUUGCAGCACUAGGAAAGUUGAGAACCACUGUAUUAAGCCUCGGCAUAAUGACUAAGCCUAACGCACAUUUUAUAAGUCCCUAUUAUUUGGCACUCAAGUCCAAUUAGCAUUUGCUUGUAAUUGAACUCUUUCCUUUUGAAUUCGAGUAUGUAAAGAUUAAGACCAUUCUUUUCUUCUCCUUGAAACCUUAAUCUAGACCUAACAUGUAGGUUAAGCAGUUUAUCCAUCAAAUACAUGGUUAGGGUAAGAGGCAACCAGUGAAUAGGAACUUCUAUUAAACUUUUUGUAAUAUCUUGGUUUACCUUUCUGUUUUUCCAUGUGCACACAUUUGCCGUGAGUAUAUUACAUGUCAGUUAGAGUAUAACUGAUUGUAAUGCUUUUCAGUCUUUAAAAAUAGAAUUGUGUUAUGGUAACAUAACCAUUAGUAUGACCCAAUAACCCUAAAGGUACAGUGUUGGCACACAUAACUUGGCAGUGACCAACAGAUUUCUAAUUGGACUUAAGACCCACUCAACGAGAGGGAAAUCAUAUUUGGUACUGAAAAGCUGGCAAGUUACUCGGGGCUGGUAAAGUUAUGACAAUUGGAAGAGAAGCCUACCACCACCACUUUAUUAAACCAGUGUAGUCCCUAACUACGUUCUAAGUGUUGGUCCUUCUACCCACGGAUACGUGUAGUCUUCUCCUCUUGAAGGAAACUUCUUUGUACAGAAGA
Rattus norvegicus (Norway rat) is the source of this 4745-nucleotide non-coding RNA. The record is from RefSeq and is a predicted model, not a curated record. NCBI's taxonomy places the organism in Eukaryota, Metazoa, Chordata, Mammalia, Rodentia, Muridae.